UACGGAGGAUGCAAGCGUUAUCCGGAUUUAUUGGGCGUAAAGCGUUCGUAGGCGGUUUUAUAAGUCUGCUGUCAAAGUGCGGAGCUCAACUCCGUAAGAGCAGUGGAAACUGUGAGACUAGAGUGUGGUAGGGGUAGAGGGAAUUCCCAGUGUAGCGGUGAAAUGCGUAGAUAUUGGGAAGAACACCGGUGGCGAAAGCGCUCUACUGGACCACAACUGACGCUGAGGGACGAAAGCUAGGGGAGCGAAAGGG
Molecule: non-coding RNA, 253 nt
Filed under: uncultured cyanobacterium
Lineage: Bacteria; Bacillati; Cyanobacteriota
Also listed under: 1 other name
Description: contains 16S-23S intergenic spacer region
Rfam family: Bacterial small subunit ribosomal RNA
Source: RNAcentral